Non-coding RNA from Xyrichtys novacula (pearly razorfish), 2492 nucleotides. The record is from the annotation of a GenBank genome assembly. Lineage: Eukaryota; Metazoa; Chordata; Actinopteri; Labriformes; Labridae.
AUGAUGAUUAUUACUUCAAGGAAACGAUAAAGAAAUGAUCAUAAAUGUUCUUCCUUGAGCUGCGGCACCCCGCUGUAGUCUGUAAUGGACUGGCCUGAGGUCUCUCUACAAACAAGCAGCUGCUGGAAGAGAGUAGGUGAGUUGUGUUUAGUCUCUUUGCUAAAGAAAUGAGUCAAAGUUAAAAAGAUGUUUGGUGGCUAGUACUAUGUCUGUGACCCUAUAUGUCCUGUUGAUGAAGUUAGGUGCUGUUCUGAGCAUUAUUGGUGGCUAUAGAGUGGCGUUUUGGUUGGGGGCGUGUCUCUCUGUAUUUCUAUCCUGCGGUCGUUACUAAAGUUGGUAUAACUAGAGAAGCAAGCGGUCGACAACAUUCAUCUCUGGAGGCGGGGUCUAACUCGGGGUUACGGUGGGUUUGACCAUGACUUAGUUUCAUGCUGGAAUAUCCCUUUAAGGAGCUGCUGAACGCCUCCAGACCACCUUAAAUGUCCCCCCUGUUACUCCUCUCUUCAGCCUCCUUGUCUUCUGUCUCUUCUUUUCUCCCUCCUGUCUUUUUAUCCCCCCCCCCAGCCCCGCUCUGGGUCCACCUCUGAUUGUGGACUCUGCAGCUCUAAAUGGAUCUGCCCUCCUGAGCGAACGGGUCAGCACUUAUUUCCGCUGCCUUUAAUGAGAAACACAUGGCUGCUGCGCCUCCUCCUCCUCCUCCUCCCCUUGCUCCUUCAGGCCUUCUCUUCUAGUCUGUCCAGGCCAGAAGGAAGGAGGAGGAGGAGGAGGAGGUGAGGGGUAGAAGAGUGAUGUUACACUCAGGUUAUAUGAGAAAAAGAGAAACUGAAGAAAAAGAUUAAAGAUCUCCACGGAUCACCUGAACCAGAUCCUGGACUAGGAGUUGACCCUCAGUCUGAGUGGACCCUGAUGGAGCAGACGUGAACGUCUGCCUCCAGACCUUCUCCGUGGUCAUUUGGCCUCUUCUACCCUCCCUUUGUCUUCACUUUAAUAAAGUUUCACCAUGUCAGAAAGAAACAAAGAGAGGAACAGGAGCGAGAAGGAUCAAUCAUCACGAGCAUGAUCUCAGCGGCGCACAAAGAGGCGGAGCUACAAGACACUUAAAUGAAAUAUGAGAUCAGAUUAGAGAUGGUACGAGCAACUGUGAAGGACAUCCAACAACCACAAGCUGGAGCAGUUCGAGAACUCUGUCCAAAUGUGGAUCCAAGCCUGACUGCGGAGAACGCUGAAGUAUUCGACCUGCGGUCAGAGGAACCUCCAAUCUUCACCGCAUCCAGAACAGCUGCGAUCUGGAACGGCGGCGAUUUUCACCGUCCGCCAGUUCCUACCGGAUCCGUUAGUGAGGCGAAUUUUGUGGCGGAUUACAGACGUUACAUUCAAUAUGAUGAAGAGUCGUCUCUCUAAAGACAGACACAUAGACAUAUAAGCAGUAGAUUGUGUCCUUCCAGAGGAGGAAAUCUACUUCUAGACUUCUAGAAUCAGCAUCUCCUCAUCCAUGGUGUCAUCGGGGUGAAAUGACGUCUAAAAACCUUUCACUUGUUCGUCUCCGCCCGUUUGCAUGGUGUGAAAUACGAUCCUCCUGAAACACGGAGUGUUUUAUUUUGAAAAGAAGCCGGAUGUUUUAUUUUGUGUCUGUGCCCGACUUCCUUUCCAGCACGGGUUAAUCUGUGCUGAAUUUAUCCGCCAUGCUCCGGCGUCCAGAAAAAAUAGAACUCUUGUGAUCAGCUGAGGAGUCCGGCGAUCCGCAGAGGAACGGAAAGAAGUCGGUGUAAAUUGACACGUUAACUUGAAUGGUUACGAUCAGCUACGAUCGGAGGAUACGACCUUUUAGGAGACCAUCAGGAUGAAGGUGGAGGUCGGAGGUCCGACCUAAGCGGAGUGUGGGUGGUUUCAGGCUGAAUGCCUGAGUGUCUCUGCUUUAAACAUCCUCUUCAUCAUGAGGGGGGGAGGAGGAGGAGGAGGAGGAGGAGGAGGAGGAGGAGGAGGAGGGUCUGGGGGGAAGUUAGCAUCAGUGCUUUGGACAUAAACAGACUGAGAGUCUGAGCUGAUGAGCAACAUGUGUCCGGACUGAGAAACACAGGAAGACCCAGAACCACAGACCUGCAAACACAAAACACAGCCAGCUGAUCCUGAAAGUCCAGCACCGGGUCAGGGAGAGGGUCUACAAGGACAGUAUGAUGGGGGUCCUGAAUGGAGACUCUGUUUUGUCACUGAUCAGGAUCCUGAUUCAGACACUCAGACCCUCCUUUACUGUGCGGUCUAAAUCAGAGCAGGGUCAGAACAGCAGAGGGACGGUCUGAACCAGAUCCUCAUCCAGACCAGGUUCCUGGUUUAUCGUAGAAAAGGUUCUAGAUUCUGUCGUAGGAAUAAAACGUCGAAUAAGAAGAAAAAACUCUGUUUUUCUCAAACCUGCGGACACGGUCGUACGAUCGAGUCAGUGAUCGGUGAUGAUGAAUCCGCCUGUUCUUUCCUGGCGAGCUCGUUCAUGGUUAGGG